GCUCACUUUUUAGCUCAGUUGGUUAGAGCGUGGUGCUGAUAAUGCCAAGGUUGCAGGUUCGAUCCCCGUAUGGGACA
Molecule: non-coding RNA, 77 nt
Organism: Podarcis lilfordi (Lilford's wall lizard)
Lineage: Eukaryota; Metazoa; Chordata; Lepidosauria; Squamata; Lacertidae
Source: the annotation of a GenBank genome assembly